Long non-coding RNA from Triticum dicoccoides, 7353 nucleotides. RefSeq lists it as uncharacterized. NCBI's taxonomy places the organism in Eukaryota, Viridiplantae, Streptophyta, Magnoliopsida, Poales, Poaceae. The record is from RefSeq and is a predicted model, not a curated record. The transcript has 15 exons.
CACAGCCCCACGCCCCUCACUCCUCCCUCCCUCAUCCGCCGCCUCUCCCUCCCACCUCCUCCUCCUCCUGCGCUGUAGGAGCCCCGCCACCGCCUGCUACUCCUCCACCGCCUCGCCUCUUCCUCCUCCCCGCCUUCCCAUCGCUCGCGUGCAGGCCAUCGUGGCCAUGCGCUUCGCGUUCGAACCCGAUCUCCAACGCCUGCUCCGGGUUCGCGCGGUACGGGCUCCCCUGCAUCCUCCUCCUCGCGGCCGAGGACGACGCCUCCGGAGUAAGCUGCGGCGCUCGAUUCGAUCUGCGGGAGAGAGAGAAGAUGAGAGGGAGAAGAUGGAAGGAGAGGAGGGAGAAAGAGAGAGAGGAAAGAGGAGAAGGAGGCGCGGCGUCGGAUGGGAGAGGGUCACCGCCGGUCGACCGGGAGGACAGAGAUGGCCCUCAUCCCCGCAGUGCUGCCGUCUUCUUGCGCCAGUCAUGGCCUGGACGAACUCACCCGCACCAGCCGAGAUUUCUGCUUCCACAAUGGCUUGGUGUACGAGGUGGCAUGACGUGUGUGUGAGGUAGUGGUGGAUCAUUGGGGGUGAAGCAGGUCUCCUCGACGGGUGCUACAUCUGAGGUUUCACUACGAGAGGAGUUCGCCGACAGCCAUGAGCACCCAGUCAGGCGGUUGGCGCCGACGGUGGUGGGGAUGUCCCCAAGCUUACCAGCCUGCCUCCUUCAUGCGUGGUUGCGUGCAGCCUUGGAUCUCUGAUGCGGAUCUGAAUUUGGAUAGGUUGCCUGCUCAAUCUGUAGAAUUGAUUGAAGAUGAAUCCUGAAGUUGACAAAAAAGGCUUGGGGUAGGGUGUGCACCACCAGACCGGAAGCCGUGUGCUGGUUGGGUUAGUGCAUUCGAGGAAACCUAGCAAUACACUAAUAAUCCUACUGAAAUGUGGUGAAGCCAGCUCACAAAGGAGCGAGAGUGCAAGAGCAUGCUGAAGACAUACAUGCGACAAGCAGUCCAAUGCACACUUUCUCGAGGCAGUACACGAGACUUCAAUUUGACCGUUAGUCGGGCAACAACUAUGAUAAGGAAAUGACAAGGAUUCUAAGUUUUUUUUGGUUUUAAUUUGUUUGGUCAUAAAACUGAAAAUGGUAGACUAAUUAGUAAUGUGAAUGUGUGUCUUAUUAACAGAGUGGAGUGGUGCCAUAGAGCGGCACACAUGCAAGGGUGGGGGUCGGGUCAAGGCUGCUGUUGGCAGCCUGGAUGUAGGCGAUGGUGGCGGCCGGCGGGGGUCUGGCAGACGAGGGAAGGAGCAGCAAGGCUGGUGAUGGGCCAAGUGCCACCAGAGGAGGGUGAAGGGGCGACUUCGUGCUUUGCAACAACAAUUCGUGUCCAUGAAAAAUUUGUGGUGGUGAUGAUUGAUCUAAGUAUCAGAUUGGUUAUAUGGAAAUGGGGCUUUACUUCCGGAGAUGUUCCCAAUGAAGGAGCUUCGAGGCGAGCACUGCAAUGAUGUAGUUUUGUAUAUGGCAUAAUCUGUAGGAACCCUCUCUUAGUUUCUUUUGUUCUUCGUUUCGGUCCUGUUGAUCAAUGCCAAUUAAUCUAGCUAUUUUCAUUGUACCCAAUGCCAAUUAAUCUAGCUAUUUUCGUUGUACCCACGUGCCGAGAUCUGCACACACAGAAUUCGUGCUGAUUUGUUUAGGUGUGGCACGUAUCACAGCUACAACAGCAAUCUGGUAAUUAGUGCUCAAAUAAGGUACUUUUCUUCUCCCCUUUACAUAUCAUGGACAUAUGUGGUGGUUGCUUGACAUUGCUGAAGCGAGGACUCUAAAUGUAUUUUUCUGUUGUCCCUGAUUAUCUUAGUUAGGCCGUAUGUGUUCUGCUGGUCUAUUUUCAUUUGUCUACUUUUAUAGAAUUUCAAAGAUAUAAUUUCCUCUCAUGUAGUUGCCUCAUUCUUCAUAUAUAUACUAAUCCUCUCCUAAAUGAUAGAUGAGGCAGGUGAUCUCUUUUAUUUUCCUUUCUGCAAAUUAGACCAAUAGUAUUUUAGUCAACUUCAGGGUAUGUUAAAUAUGACAGUUAAUGAAGAUGAUCGUUCUUUCUAUUAAGAGUACACAAUCUGACUCAUUUUAAAAUAGCAUCUUAUCUUUAUAAAAACACUAAGCUGCUACUUUAGCAAGUGUUUUACUUCAACAUAGAUUGCUGCAGGAAAGAAAGUUUUUUUUUUUGCAAUAAAGCAAGCAUUGAACGCACUGAAGUGUCCGAAGAAGAAGAGCUUGAAUUUUUUACCAACGUAAAUUUAAGGUAACCUUAUUCAUGCAUAUGUUGUUCCUUUCAGCCAUUUGUAUCUAAAUAUCAAUACUCAUUUUGAACUAUAUGCUCAGGCCGGCCUUUUCGUUUGAUGUUAUUGGUGUGGUAUGUGUAUAAUUAUUAACAUGGUUGCGAUUUUAGUGAUAGCUCGUCACACAUUACAGAAACCUAUUUUCCAUUUUGUGGCUCUAUGCUCAUCUGUGCCUAGGUACAGCUAUAGCAUGGUGAAGGAACACUACAUGCAUUGAAGAAAGAAAGGAAGAAUGAUGGUUAGAACCACUGAGAUACUGAGUCCGGCCAACUAGAUGAGUGUCAGCAGCGUAAUUCUUCAUUGGAAGAGGACAAUAUCAGCCGGUUCAUUGAUCAAAGUGGUGGGAAGCUCCCGAAAACACCCUUUCCAAACAGAAUUUAUUUUUGAGAUCUCUUUAUUUUUCAUCAUUAUGAAGGUUGAUUUUACCUAUUUCACUUGAAUGGUGACCUUCCCACACUCCCAAUUUUUGCUUAGGAUUCUCGUUUAAAUGGUGAGCCCUCAGAUUCUGAAUGUCGGCUCUUUAGUACUGUUUAUUAUUUUAAGAAAAUAUGAGCAAUGUGAUUUUGUUCUCUAGAGACUGGAAUUGAAUAGUAGGUCCUUUUGGUAUUGUCCUCUUACCAUUUGUUCCUAACAGAUGCAUGGGUUUGACUAUGCAUUAUCAUGUGUUUUGUUUCAAAGGUAAUAUGCCCUAAAUCAUUUACUGAACUUUCAGUUCUUUUUUGGAACCAGGCGAGUAUAAACAAUUUGUUAUCUGCCAUCCUAAAUUGUUUCCCAUGCCAUCCAUGUAAGUUUUAGUACCUUUCCAUGUAGGUAGUGGGCGAUCAAGUGUGUGCAUUUCAUGACAUACUUUGUUUUGUUUCAAAGGUAAUAUGCCCUAAAUCAUGUACUGAACUUUCAGUUCUUUUUCGGAACUAGGUGAGAAACAAUUUGUUAUCUGCCAUCCUGAAUUAUUUGCCAUGCCAUCCAUGUAAUUUUUAGUACAUUAUACUUAGUUUGGUGUAUGAGAGUAGUUUGUAACUGAAGGAAGAUUGACGCCAUGGCUGCAACCGGUUCAGUGACUAAGAUUAUUUCAGGAAUAAUGUACAUUUGGUGCUCCCUGCACUUAAUUUUGGACGUUGAAUACUACUCUUGCUUUGACAGCUCACUGAUUUUAUUAGGAAACCUUAUCUGUUAAUACUUUCUUGUCAAACUCAUAACAAGUUAUAAUAAUCAAACUAUAUAGUGAUGUUGAGGGAUUAACCAGGACAAAUGCUAGCCAACGUCCCAUUGAGUAGGCCUUCCCAGGCUCCUUGAGUAGCUGGCUCCACUGGGUACAUAGACGAUUACCUAAUGUGUGGUUUCUUUAAUCACCGAUCGGUUAUUGAGAAUCCGAAUCUGCGAUUAGUAUGCAGUAGUAAAGAGGUUUCUGUUUGCAAAAGAAAGCAAGUUUAUGUACUUUGUCGCCACUGCAAGCAUAGAAAAAUUGUUUAUGUUGUAUUGCUGGGAUAGAUAUGUCUUAUACGUUGUUUUGUUCUUAUAGUCACAGCCGAGAUAUUUGUGGUGCUUGAUUUCUUCCUAUGUAUUUGUUUUCUUUUUCGUGAUUUCCUAUAUAUUUGUUGUAUAAACUCAACCUAAUUAACGUGUGUAAUGAUGAAGCACGUGGGGUGCAGAUGAGGAUGAAAUGAGCCAGGGAGAAAUAUUGCUGGUAGAAAAACAGGCCUCCCAGGCCAUCCUGACCAAAAAUGUAUUCCCUGAUUUGGUUAAACAGUCAUGUAUUGGCCCCUGGCUGCCUCAAGUGGUGGAUGCCGCCGGCUGCCCAAUGACCAUCAACACAUAUGAGCUCGGUUUAAUCAGAGGUGAGGCCUUGCUUCUUCCGCAGUUUUCUUCUCUUCUUUUGUGUGGAUUUGCAUCUUGCAAAAUUGUAAUUUCAUGGUGGGUCAGUUUGGAGGCUUCAUAUUUCACAAUUAUUAUUGUGUGGUACACCCUAGAAUUUGAUUUUAACGCGUGCUUGCGCAUAUUUGGUUAGGAUUAUCAUGCUUGUUUUUAUAUGUAAUUGCUAUGUUUCGAGGCUACUUAUUUUAUUUAACCCAUUAUUUGCCAUUUGAAAAUAAUUUUGGCAUUGACAUUUGCUAAUUACAAAUUCUUAUCAUUGGUUACCGCGUAAUUCUUGCUUGGUUUUUGGUGUGAUUUCAUCUUAGUUUAUACUUGUGUAUGGACCACCCAUGUUUUGUGAAACAAUAGUACACCCAAAAGGAGAAGUUGUUGAGAUGAUAGUCAUGACAGCCUAUAACACAGGCGCGGUGCUUGAAGCUCAUGAGUAAGAAGACAAGAAAAAACCAUUCUAAAGUUGGAGGGAUUCACAGAAAAUGCAUAGGAAAAAAAUCACUAGGAAAUCUACCUUCACUACAUUUUGGAGUGUAGAACAUGGACCAUAUGGGUCCAAGUAGAGAACAUAAAUAUCCACUACUAUUUCUAUUUUCAUCAGUUAAUUUUGAUAUUGUUUCGGACAAUAGAUAACCUAGGCUUCGUAGUUGGUAAUAUUUAUCAGAGUUUUAGUCUAAUGUACUUUUCUGUAGCGGUGCUGCCAUGAAGUUCAGUCUACAAACCUCUGUUGUGUAAACAUAGUGCUGAUCUGCUGAACUAGAAUUAUGGCCCUGCUUACCUGUGGUGCUGCACUUUACAACAAUUCUACUUGUUCUUUCAUAGCCCACCUUAUGUGUGCCAUCUUCUACUCUUCCCUCCGUCUCAGAAUAAGUGACUCAAGUUUAUACUAACUUUAGUACGAAGUUAGUACAAACUUGAGUCACUUAUUAUUGUUCCAUGGUUUUUUAGUUAUUGAUGAUGUCAUAUUUCUUUCUGCCUUUGUAGCUGAAAGAUUAGUGAGACUGACUAAAUUCUGGACAUGUUCCAUGUGAGAGAAAUAGCAUGUUGAUUUCAUCUUGAAAUAAUCAUAGCUGAGGGACGAGGUCCGUAACUGAGGGUCAUGUGCAGAGCUGGAGGAAGAAGUUGCGAGGCUUGGAACUCUGACAGCAGUAAGGACAAUGCCUCUUUAGUUGCAAUUGUGAUACUCCUAAUGUGCAAGUAAACACUCCUGUGACACUUCUUAUGCUAAAAUGUUGGUCGUUAGUACAGAGGUGGUAACAUUAUUUGGUUCUCUUGUAUUGAUUUCAUAAUACAUGAUGUAAUACAAUCCACAUUGCAUUAUAUUUUGAGUUAUAUCUCCUACUUACUCACUACUAACAUUCUUUCUAAUUCGCUUCUUGCGCCAUUGGCACAACCGGGUCAUCUAGUUUAACUUAUAAAGACGCUAGGAUAGCAGCCCCUCUCAGGCCAUGCACGCGGCCAGCAAAAAGACGCUAGGAUAGCAGCCCCUCUCAGGCCAUCCACGCGGCCAGCAAUUGCAAAUUGUGUCCAGUUUCACUUUGUUCCCUGCCUAGCCUCUGUCGCUGACGGGUGGGCCCUAGGGUCAUGGGUCCGUCGACGGGGAGCCUAUAGAGAGUCUCCCCUUUCCUUCCCCAAUCCACUGCCUCCUCUUCCCCUGACCCUCCCCCAAUCCCCGCCUCCUCUCCUCCUUCCCAGUCUGUCGCCUCUGCACCCUGGCCGUCGUCCCUGUCCCCAACUGGGCUGCCCAUGUAUGGCGACUGCUCAGCGCAGCACCACCCCGUCCUCCCUCGUCAGCCGCCGUCGGUCUUCUCGCUGGGAUGGAGGAGUAGGGGAUCCCGCCAGAUCCGACCUGCAGGCAAAUGGCGACGGCGGCGGCGACUGGAAUCCCUCAACGCCGGAGGAAGGCGUGCGACCGGCAAAGAAACCUGGUGAUGGAGCAGGAUGAGGUGGCGGUUCAAGUUCGGCGGCCUUCGCGUGUUGUGGUUGCAGGCGCUCCACUUCCUUUCCCCCCUGCCCUGGUGAGUCGUCCUUGAUCUAAAUAUUUAAUCCCCGCACUGAUUUGUUUUUGUUAUACAGUAUGGGGGUCUGCAGAUUAUCCUUCCAAGGAGGUCACAAAGAGCAGCGACGACUUCUUGGUAAUCUGCGAUUGGCCACAAAGGAUGAGGUACAUGGAGAUUGCCAGCUACCUUCCAUUGGUGUAUAUGCAAGCUACAGAGAAAACCAAAUCUGCACCAUGCCGAUAUGCUUCAUGAUGAGUGUGCUUUUAGCAUCCUUCACCCUCUCAGAUGGCCAUUAGGUGCCGACCAAGAGGUGCAUCCCAUGAAUCAAACUGCAAUGGGGCAUACAAUAAUUAGGAGGGCAUGGCUAUCGCUGCGGAGCUACCCUCCCCCUCAAUCAUGCACUUGUGCUUUUCAAACGCAGUUCGCUGCUGCUGUUUAAUUAGCUCCUGCAUUAGCAGUGGAUUCAGAGUUUAUUCUUCAGCAGAUUCAAUUUGCAGGAGACUCCUGUUGCAGUUUGGUGACAUAGAUAAAAGAGGGCCAGCCACACCUUUGAAAUAAGCAGCGGCCAUCCAGUCCAGAACAGACUGAAUCUGCUCGGCAAAGUGUAAAAAGGAAAUUACUGCUCGGCAAAGUGUAAAAAAGGCCAGGCUAUCAUUUAUGUAGUUAUUUGGAAUGUCAGAUCCAAGAAAUAAGAUGAGAAGAGGAAUCUAGCAAAGGAAGGUGAAUAUUUUCUCUUGUGAAUACAACAAGAGUACAUCUCCUUCUAUAUGUCAAUAUAUCAACAAAACAAGAGAUCUAUAAUAUCAUUGUUUAUGGAGUUCACAGAUUAUUGAAGAUUUUUGCUGCCAUGGAAUUGUGAGUUUGUGACUAUACAUUCUUGUGUCCUACAUGUGAAUUGAAGAUAUAUUGUCUCUGUAUGUGAAUGUAAAUAUCCAGGUAAAUGUGAUGAUUCAUAAAUUAGUCGGUUGGAGAUCGGUAGACAGUCAGGUGUAUUGAUAACUGGAGUUUAGUGCUCAAAAUCCUUCUAACUUUUCCACAGACUGUAUUUUCUUGACAUUUAAGAGAAGAAUGAGUACUGUUAGUCAUUCUCUAUCAUGUAUAAUAGUACAAUAUUGGAGAUGUGAAUGGAAAUGUUCAUUUAGUACAGUAUUAGUAGAUGAUGAUUACUUUUCUUCGCAGUCAA